AUUGCUCCUCUGCCUUUUGGGUAAGAUCAAGUGUAAUAUCUGUUCUUAUCAGUUUAAGAUUGUGGAAGAUGUCAACCCCACUGAUGGAACAGAGCAUCACUUGAUCUUGUCCAAGAGCCUGCUGAUUUGGAGCCCAAGCAUUUUUGCUCUUUAGGAUUUGCACCCCUGGGGUGCCUGAGUUCAUUUGUU
Xenopus laevis (African clawed frog) is the source of this 189-nucleotide non-coding RNA. The record is from Rfam. NCBI's taxonomy places the organism in Eukaryota, Metazoa, Chordata, Amphibia, Anura, Pipidae.